GACGAACGCUGGCGGCGUGCUUAACACAUGCAAGUCGAACGAAGCUUGAUUACGGAUUCUUCGGAUGAAGUAUGAUAUGACUGAGUGGCGGACGGGUGAGUAACGCGUGAGUAACCUGCCCUUCAGAGGGGGAUAGCGUUUGGAAACGAACGUUAAUACCGCAUAAUGUAUUUUGACCGCAUGAUCGAAAUACCAAAGAUUUAUCGCUGAAGGAUGGACUCGCGUCUGAUUAGGUAGUUGGUGGGGUAACGGCCUACCAAGCCGACGAUCAGUAGCCGGACUGCGAAGAUGAUGGGCCGCCUUGGGACUGAGACACGAGUCAGACUCAUUCGGGAGGGGGCGGUGGGGAGUAUUGCACAGAGGGCGCGGGCGUGAUGCAGCAACGCCGCGUGAAGGACGACGGUUUUCAAAUAGUUGACUUCUGUUCUUAGUGAAGAGUAAUGACGGUAGCUAAAGAGCAAGCCACGGCUAACUACGUG
Molecule: ribosomal RNA, 479 nt
Filed under: uncultured bacterium
Lineage: Bacteria
Description: partial 16S ribosomal RNA
Rfam family: Bacterial small subunit ribosomal RNA
Source: RNAcentral